UAAAGAGUUCAAGCUUGUCCUAUCGAAAAGCAAAACCCUUGUGCAGGUUGUUUCGUUGGUGGACCGAACACUUCUGAGAAUUAAAAAAAAUCAAGAAAGGGAUGAUUUCAACACUAUAAAUUCAUUUCAUAGUGCGAAAACUCACUUGGAAGAUUUGGAUAAACAAGCAUCUUCUGUAUUCACACACGACGUGUUUAAGUGGAUUUUUAGGGAGAUCAUGAAAGAGGCUCAUAUCACACUAAAGCAAGGAACAUAAUGUCAUGAAGAUGGUUCCCAGGUUUACAAGGUAUCAGUUUACAAACGUCUUGAUUUUGAACACAUUGUUACCUACUACCCACGGAAAGAGACUGAAAGUGCAACAGACCCGAUUAUGGUGUGCUUUUGCAGAAUGUUUCGAACACAAGUACCAUUUCGAUUUCUAGAAAGUCUACUUCUUUGUGAUUUUGUUUAUGUAGAUGGUAGAUGUUUCUAAUGAAAACAUUAGAUGUUGUUUAUGUUAGUUGUAGACUUUGCAACUUUUGUCAUCUAAAUGGUUCAAACACAAAUACCAUUUUGAUUUCCAGAAAGUCUACUUCUUUGUGAUUUUGUUUAUGUAAAUGGUAGAUAUUUCUCAUGCAACUAGUAGAUGUGUCUAAUGAUAAAUGUGGUCGAUGACACGCUAGCGAUCCAAGGGAAUAAAGGUCAGGCCAAUCGGAGAGUAAUGUUUUGUGUGAAACGAAUGAUCGAUUGAGAUUUGAAUUAGGGUAUAGAGUGGACGGCUGGGAGCGAUGACACGUGGCAAUCAGGGGCAUGUGGGGUUCGGCCAAUGAAGAGUUGUGCUUUGUGUGAAACGAAUAACCGGUCAAGAUUUUUGGGUGAUUUUAUAAUCGACGGCCAAGAGCGAUGGCAUGUUGGCGAUCCAAGGGAAGUGGAGGUUAGGCCAAUGGAGUGGUUUUUUGAGUGCUACUGUUAUCAUGAGUCAUGUCUACUAUUUACAUGAGUUAAGUCUGCUGUUAUCAUGAGUCAUGUCUAAAAUUUAUAUAAGUUAAGUCUACUAUUGUUAUCUUUGUUCUUCGGAUGCUACUUUUUCCAAAUGAUUGAACAAAGGUGACAUCUCUUGUAUAUAGAGCUGCUUGUUCUUAAUGAUCGCACAAAGGUAACAAUACAUCUCGUGUAUGUAGGGCUAGUUGUUCCUAAUGAUCGAGCUAACGUGAUUAUCUUGUCUAUAGGGGCGCUUGUAUGUAAUGAUCGAGCUAAUGUGAUUAUCUUGUCUAUAGGGGCGCUUGUAUGCAAUGAUCGAUCUAAUGUAAUACGUCUUGUGUAUACGGGGCAACUUGUUUCAUAAUAAUCGAGCUAAGGUAGAUCGAAAGUAGGGUUUAAAUGUUUAGGGUUUAGGGUUUAUAUGAUUGUGCGGUUGAGAUUUGAAUUAGGGUAUAGAGUGGACGGUUGGGAGCAUGACACGUGGCCAUCCAAGGGAUGCGAGGUUCGGCCAAUGGAGAGUAGUGCUUUGUGUGAUUUAGUGAGCUGUUGAAAUUUUUGGGUUGGGUUUAGAAUCGACGGUUGGGAGUGAUUACACGCUGGCGAUCCAAAGGAAUAAAGGUCAGGCCAAUCGGAGAGUAAUGUUUUGUGUGAGGGGUUCGGCCAAUGGAGAGUCUACUUCUUUGUGAUUUUGUUUAUGUAAAUGGUAGAUUUUUCAGGACAAUAGUAUAUGUGUCUUAUGUUAAAUGUAGACUUUGCAACUUUUACCUUCGGUUGGUUCAAUCUUAAGAACAAUUUUGAUUUCCAGAGGUCUACUUUUUUGUGAUUUACCUCAUGUAAAUGAGAGACAUUUCUCAUAAAAACAGUAGUCUUGUCUCAUGUUAGUAGUAGACUUUGUAAUGUAAAUGGUAGACAAUUCUUAUCAAAAUAGUGGUCUUGUCUUAUGAUAGUUGUAGCAUUUUUAACUUUUGUCUUUUAGUGGUUCAAUCUCAAGAAUCUUACUCAACUUCUGCCUUCGGUUGAUUCAAUCUCAAGAACCAUUUUGAUUUCCAAAAAGUCUACUUUUCUGUGAUUUAGUUUAUCAUAAUGGUAGACAUUUAUAAUGAAAACAGUAUAUGUGUCUUAUGUUACAUGUAGACUUGCAAUUUUUACCUUCAGUUGAUUCAAUCUCAAUAACCAUUUAGAUUUCCAGAAAUUCUACUUACAUGUGAUUUAGCUUAUCUCAAUGGUAGACAUUUCUACUGAAAAUAGUAGAUGUGUCUUAUGUUAAAUGUAGACUUGCAACUUUUACCUUCGGUUGAUUCAAUCUCAAGAACCAUUUAGAUUUCCAAAAAGUCUACUUACCUAUAAUUUAGCUUAUCUCAAUGGUAGACAUUUAUACUGAAAAUAGUAGAUGUGUCUUACGUUAAAUGUAGACUUUGUAACUUUUACCUUCGGUUGAUUCAAUCGCAAGAACAAUUUUGAUUUCCAGAAAGUCUAUUUUCCUGUGAUUUACCUCAUGUAAAUGAGAGACAUUUCU
This 2476-nucleotide long non-coding RNA is filed under the name Fragaria vesca (wild strawberry). RNAcentral's name for it is "long non-coding RNA (FVES_LNC002959)". The record is from RNAcentral. Lineage: Eukaryota; Viridiplantae; Streptophyta; Magnoliopsida; Rosales; Rosaceae.